CAGUAGCCGCGGUAAUACGGAGGGUGCAAGCGUUAAUCGGAAUUACUGGGCGUAAAGCGCACGCAGGCGGUCUGUCAAGUCAGAUGUGAAAUCCCCGGGCUUAACCUGGGAACUGCAUUUGAAACUGGCAGGCUAGAGUCUUGUAGAGGGGGGUAGAAUUCCAGGUGUAGCGGUGAAAUGCGUAGAGAUCUGGAGGAAUACCGGUGGCGAAGGCGGCCCCCUGGGCCUGUACUGACGCUCAUGCACGAAAGCGUGGGGAGCAAACAGGAUUAGAUACCCCUGUAGUCCCUGUCUCUUAUAU
This 301-nucleotide ribosomal RNA is filed under the name uncultured bacterium. RNAcentral's name for it is "partial 16S ribosomal RNA". It matches the Rfam family "Bacterial small subunit ribosomal RNA", at positions 509 to 809 of the family's 1533-position model. The record is from RNAcentral.